Diospyros lotus (date-plum) is the source of this 1197-nucleotide long non-coding RNA. RefSeq lists it as uncharacterized. The record is from RefSeq and is a predicted model, not a curated record. The transcript has 2 exons. NCBI's taxonomy places the organism in Eukaryota, Viridiplantae, Streptophyta, Magnoliopsida, Ericales, Ebenaceae.
GACAAGCAAUUACAGAGACCCGGUAGUUGCCCAUUCGCCGUCGGCCGCCGAUGCUUCGUCCCCGCUCUCUCCUCCGUUUACUGGUUAGGGGCAGCGGGUGAGAAUGGCUCCGGUCUCUGCUGCUCUCUUUUCUCUCUCCGCUUGGUUGACAGAGUCGAUGGCAAAAUCCAGCGGCAAGGUCCAGACACGUGGAGCGGACAAGAUGAUGGUUGGCGGUUUUUGUAAAUCCAUCUCCGACAACCUCCUUGCGGCGGCUCAAAGAUUUCUAACGAUGGUGGAACGGCAUCACACACUUACCCUAUAUAACACGGACCUCGAAUCUCCACCCAUGACCUCCUCAUAGUCAUAGAGCCUCUGCAACCAGAGCUUCCUAUUUUCUUCAAACUCAGGAACAAUCACAUCGGGGACUUCAAAUUGCUUGUUGGGCGGAUUAGGGUCUUGAUUGAUCUUGAGGCUCAAUAUGCCAUUUUGGUGGGCACAGAGUGUGAGAAUCAAUGAGUUGGGUGGUGGGUCUUGGUGGGGAUCGACGACGAGCUUAACAGCGCCUCUCUUCUGCCAUAGAUUUAGUCUCUACAAAGAAAACCGACAAAUUGAGGGCUUUGUGUUCCUAACUAAUUGGUUGGGUAGUGGUCGCCGUUUCCACUCCUGGAGAUCUCCGAGCCGCCACAAGGAGCUGUCGCUGUUACCAAGCUGUUGAUCGAUUUGCAGAGACCGCCGGCCAUCAUCUUCUCUUCGACGACUGGUCUGGACCUUGUUGCCGUCGCCGCUAGACUUUGCCAUUGAUUCCGUCGACCAGGUUGAGAGAGGGGAGUGAGGGAGGAAGGGAUUGGAGCAAUGGCCUCCGGCGGUGGUUGUCUGUGAUAAGCUUGUUUAGAGAUGAAUUGAGUAGGAGAGAGUGAUUAUUCAAAGAGGUGGCGGCAAUUAGUUGUCACUCAUCAUCCAGUCAAUAUUUGUUGAUGUUACACCGUCAGUUUAACGGCGUAAAUUGGAUGGUAACAAUAUAUUAUUAUUAUACGAUUAAAAUAGAAGUAAGAAUUUAAAGUGCAAAUUAUAAAAAAUUAAAAUGUUACUUCAAAACUAAAAAUAAAACAAAAAAAUACUAUAUUUAUUUUUGUAAGAAAAUAAAUAAGCUACAAGUGGUUAAUGACAGGCAAGUUGACGGAGAAGGGGGGGGGGGGGGGGCCAGCUCCAAAGAAA